GACGAACGCUGGCGGCGCGCUUAACACAUUCAAGUCGAACGGAAAGGCCUGCUUUCCCUUGUGGAUUGCGGGUACUCGAGUGGCGAACGGGUGAGUAACACGUGAGUGAUCUGCCCCCAACUUGGGUAUAAGCCUGGGAAACUGGGUCUAAUUCCCGAUAGGACUGCAGGGUGGUGCCUGUGGUGGAAAACGAUUUUCUAGUGGUUGGGGAUGAGCUCGCGGCCUAUCAGCUUGUUGGUGGGGUAAUGGCCUACCAAGGCGGCGACGGGUAGCCGGCCUGAGAGGGUGGACGGCCACAUUGGGACUGAGAUACGGCCCAGACUCCUACGGGAGGCAGCAGUGGGGAAUAUUGCACAAUGGGCGGAAGCCUGAUGCAGCGACGCCGCGUGGGGGAUGACGGCCUUCGGGUUGUAAACUCCUUUCGACCGCGAGGAAGCCACCUGGUUGGAAGGGUGGUGACGGUAGUGGUAGAAGAAGCACCGGCUAACUACGUG
RNAcentral lists this ribosomal RNA (494 nucleotides) under uncultured bacterium. Its description in RNAcentral is "partial 16S ribosomal RNA". It matches the Rfam family "Bacterial small subunit ribosomal RNA", at positions 28 to 507 of the family's 1533-position model. The record is from RNAcentral.